This 514-nucleotide ribosomal RNA is filed under the name uncultured bacterium. Its description in RNAcentral is "partial 16S ribosomal RNA". It matches the Rfam family "Bacterial small subunit ribosomal RNA", at positions 28 to 523 of the family's 1533-position model. The record is from RNAcentral.
GAUGAACGCUGGCGGCGUGCCUAAUACAUGCAAGUCGAGCGAACAGAUGAGAAGCUUGCUUCUCUGAUGUUAGCGGCGGACGGGUGAGUAACACGUGGGUAACCUACCUAUAAGACUGGGAUAACUCCGGGAAACCGGGGCUAAUACCGGAUAAUAUUUUGAACCGCAUGGUUCAAUAGUGAAUGACGGUUUCGGCUGUCACUUAUAGAUGGACCCGCGCCGUAUUAGCUAGUUGGUAAGGUAACGGCUUACCAAGGCGACGAUACGUAGCCGACCUGGGAGGGUGAUCGGCCACACUGGAACUGAGACACGGUCCAGACUCCUACGGGAGGCAGCAGUAGGGAAUCUUCCGCAAUGGGCGAAAGCCUGACGGAGCAACGCCGCGUGAGUGAUGAAGGUCUUCGGAUCGUAAAACUCUGUUGUUAGGGAAGAACAAAUUUGUUAGUAACUGAGCAAGUCUUGACGGUACCUAACCAGAAAGCCACGGCUAACUACGUGCCAGCCGCCGCCGUAA